AUACGAACCGGACAAACGUUAUUCGGAAUCAUUGGGCUUAAAGGGUGCGUAGGCGGCUUAGUAAGUGGGGUGUGAAAUCCCUCGGCUCAACCGAGGAACUGCGCCUCAAACCACUAGGCUAGAGGGAGACAGAGGUAAGCGGAACUGAUGGUGGAGCGGUGAAAUGCGUUGAUAUCAUCAGGAACACCAGUGGCGAAAGCGGCUUACUGGGUCUCUUCUGACGCUGAGGCACGAAAGCUAGGGUAGCGAACGGGAUUAGAAACCCUAGUAGUCC
RNAcentral lists this ribosomal RNA (274 nucleotides) under uncultured bacterium. RNAcentral's name for it is "partial 16S ribosomal RNA". It matches the Rfam family "Bacterial small subunit ribosomal RNA", at positions 523 to 796 of the family's 1533-position model. The record is from RNAcentral.